Long non-coding RNA from Chinchilla lanigera (long-tailed chinchilla), 598 nucleotides. RefSeq lists it as uncharacterized. The transcript has 4 exons. The record is from RefSeq and is a predicted model, not a curated record. NCBI's taxonomy places the organism in Eukaryota, Metazoa, Chordata, Mammalia, Rodentia, Chinchillidae.
CACCUUGCAAGUACUUCCUGAAGGUCAGGCCUUCUGGCAAAUGAUGAAGCUACACAAUGAGUACCGCUGCGACAGUCCCCAACCCCGUGGAGCCUGUACUCGUGUAGAAGAAAGAGCCAUUGAAUGAUGAAGUCGAACUACUUGGGCUCCACCCAUUUUCAGUGCCCUGUGUCUCACAAGCACAUCACACAACUGUCCAUGGAGAAGGUUGUGGAGAGGAAUCUGUGUGACAAGUGCUCGGGUUGUGGAACCCAUAACCACCCUCACCAUGCACCAGUCUCCUUCCCUCUGAAUGAUUUUGUUGGAGGUAAAAAUAAUCAACACUUGCAAAUUCACCAGGGACCAAGAAAUGCACAACUUCGGAAAGGCAAACUGCGCUGAGAAACUCUGCUUUUAAUAAAGUGAUCCGGGGCCCAGCAGCACAAACACCGUCCUGGGUCACAUUAGCCCAAGUGUUGCCUGAGAUGAUCCACCACUCCAUCAAGAAAUUAGGAGGAAUUUUUGCUCUGUAAUGACAGCAUCUUCUCAAUCUCCAAAGAAAGUCAUGGUAAAAUCUGUCUUUCAUUGAGUCUCUUAAGGAUCAGUGGAUUAUACUGAA